UACGUAGGGGCCUAGCGUUGUCCGGAUUUAUUGGGCGUAAAGAGCUCGUAGGCGGUUCGGCAAGUCAGCUGUGAAAUCUCCACGCUUAACGUGGAGGGGUCAGCUGAUACUGUCGUGACUCGAGUCCGGUAGGGGAGUGUGGAAUUCCCGGUGUAGCGGUGAAAUGCGCAGAUAUCGGGAGGACCACCAGUAGCGAAGGCGGCACUCUGGGCCGGUACUGAUGCUGAGGAGCGAAAGCGUGGGGAGCGAACCGG
RNAcentral lists this ribosomal RNA (254 nucleotides) under uncultured bacterium. RNAcentral describes it as "partial 16S ribosomal RNA". It matches the Rfam family "Bacterial small subunit ribosomal RNA", at positions 524 to 776 of the family's 1533-position model. The record is from RNAcentral.